GCUGAAACAACUAAUCGAUUUAAUCGAUUAUAAUCGAUUAUUAAAAUAGUUAACAACUUUUUUAGUCAUCGAUUAGUUGUUUAAUAAUCAUAUUUUACCGCAUAAAGUCUAUUUUUUACCACAAUCUGACAUCGGUUACAAUCUGUUAAAUUUGCCGCCAGUGUGUGGCAGUAAUGAGCCACUGAUCUACCAGUGGGGCCGUAGAAGAAGAAAUUAGCCAAUAAGUGCCCUCGGUUUUCAUGACGUAUCACGUUACUGAUGCGCAUCUUGCUGUGAGAGAUGGCGGAUCAACAACAAAUACGGAAGAAAAAUAGAAGCGACAAAACAAGAGAAACCCCGGACAAAAACCUCACGAGUAUGGGAGCACUUCACUAGAUGCCUUGAAAAGACCGGUGACCUACAAAAUAUGCAAAAACCAUGGCACGACGGAAGCACGACGUCCCUAAGUGAACAUUUGAGACGAAAACGUGGGGGCUGAUGCAGCAGAGGAAUGUCCGAAAAAAACAAGCAACGAUGGACAACUACAUGGGGAACAAGACACUCACCCCCAGCAAUUCAUACCACUUACAAACUCUAUUCCAGAUUCUACAUUAUUUUUUAUGGAAUUUACCUCUUAUAUUUUGAUGCCAAAAAAUUAUUCUGGACUGAUAUUUUGCACUGUUUAGCUCAUUUUACACUGCUGACUGUGGUCAUGUGCAAUAAAAUAGAUUGCAGUCAACUGCACAAUUC
Nothobranchius furzeri (turquoise killifish) is the source of this 729-nucleotide non-coding RNA. NCBI's taxonomy places the organism in Eukaryota, Metazoa, Chordata, Actinopteri, Cyprinodontiformes, Nothobranchiidae. The record is from RefSeq and is a predicted model, not a curated record.